This 20-nucleotide non-coding RNA is filed under the name Arabidopsis thaliana (thale cress). Lineage: Eukaryota; Viridiplantae; Streptophyta; Magnoliopsida; Brassicales; Brassicaceae. The record is from RNAcentral.
UAAGAUCGGGUUGCGGAUUA